Molecule: ribosomal RNA, 482 nt
Filed under: uncultured bacterium
Lineage: Bacteria
Description: partial 16S ribosomal RNA
Rfam family: Bacterial small subunit ribosomal RNA
Source: RNAcentral
GACGAACGCUGGCGGCGUGCUUAACACAUGCAAGUCGAACGCUGAAGCUCAGCUUGCUGGGUGGAUGAGUGGCGAACGGGUGAGUAACACGUGAGUAACCUGCCCUCUUCUUUGGGAUAACGCCCGGAAACGGGUGCUAAUACUGGAUAUUCACUGAUUCUCGCAUGGGGGUUGGUGGAAAGGUUUUUUCUGGUGGGGGAUGGGCUCGCGGCCUAUCAGCUUGGUGGUGGGGUGAUGGCCUACCAAGGCUUUGACGGGUAGCCGGCCUGAGAGGGUGACCGGUCACAUUGGGACUGAGAUACGGCCCAGACUCCUACGGGAGGCAGCAGUGGGGAAUAUUGCACAAUGGGCGAAAGCCUGAUGCAGCGACGCCGCGUGAGGGAUGGAGGCCUUCGGGUUGUAAACCUCUUUCGCUCAUGGUCAAGCCGCAGCUUUGGGUUGUGGUGAGGGUAGUGGGUAAAGAAGCGCCGGCUAACUACGUG